AUUAACCUCAUCUCAUGCAAAUGACUGAACUCCUGGCACAGAAGUUUUUUCUGCAUUAGCAUUGCUGUGUCUGAUAAAAUUGACACUGAAGAGAUCCAUCAAUAAUUAGGUUCGUGCAUUGUGCAGCAUCUGAUACUCUUUUUCUUCAGAGGAUGUAUUUGUUACCUCUGCUGUGUGCCAGGACCUCCUCUUGAUGUUGUGCCAAUGACUCAGCUGCUUUACUGUGACAACUUACCUCCAGCAAAGUGGGAAGAUGAGCAGCUGCUUGCAGAACCAAAGCCAAUCUUCUGCCUGGGAUCAGUUGGCAAGGAUUUCUGUGAAAGAAGCGAGGAUGCAGUAAAUGAUAUGUGCUGAAUUAAUUGUACCUACUACCAGCCUGUCU
Aquila chrysaetos chrysaetos is the source of this 382-nucleotide long non-coding RNA. RefSeq lists it as uncharacterized. NCBI's taxonomy places the organism in Eukaryota, Metazoa, Chordata, Aves, Accipitriformes, Accipitridae. The record is from RefSeq and is a predicted model, not a curated record. The transcript is spliced from 3 exons.